GGUGACUGAGUUCAGAACUGUGCUCGUCUGAUCUGUGCGCUCGGUCGAAGAGGACGACCUUCCCCGAUAGAGGAGGACCGUUCUUCGGUCAAGGGUAUACGAGUAGCUGCGCUCCCCUGCUAGAACCUCCAAACAGGCUCUCA
Molecule: long non-coding RNA, 143 nt
Organism: Herpailurus yagouaroundi (jaguarundi)
Lineage: Eukaryota; Metazoa; Chordata; Mammalia; Carnivora; Felidae
Exons: 4
Source: RefSeq, a predicted model, not a curated record